Formica exsecta is the source of this 1830-nucleotide RNA transcript. It is a transcript of the gene named sentrin-specific protease 8-like, with no coding region annotated. The record is from RefSeq and is a predicted model, not a curated record. The transcript has 4 exons. Lineage: Eukaryota; Metazoa; Arthropoda; Insecta; Hymenoptera; Formicidae.
AAAAAAAUAACAAAUUAUAUAUGUUAAAAAUUAAUCAAUAUAAAUAUAAUUAUAAAUGUUUAGUCAAUAUAGUCAUAAUAUGUGCAUAAAUAUCAGGACACAAGUGUGUAUGUCUUAAAUAUAAAUCCAUGUAAUAAAUAAUAAGACGUUGAGUGUGUGUAGGUUUUUGAAAUGCUAUUAUAAUAUUUGAUAAUAUACAUUACUGCAGAAGAAAAAAAUUAAUAAAAUAAAAGAUCAGAAAAAAGGACGGCAGAAGGAGAAAGAGUGAUAUAGAAGAGUAUCCUAAAAGAGACAAAUAACAAUAAUAAAUUAGAAAUAGUAUUAUGCAUUUGCCUGAAUUUUCAAAGCAUUUAAGCACUGAAGUUAUGGUGAAUCUAGAGGAAGAUAAUGAUAUUGUGUUGAGUUACCACAAUUAUGUGGUGAGAUCAUCGGAUGCCGCAUUAUUGGAGAAAAAUGACACAUGGCUCAACGACAUUGUGAUAGGAUUUUAUUUUGAAUAUUUGGAUCAACAAUAUAAAAAGGAUAAUAAGAGACUGUUAUUAUUUAUUGAUCCUGGAGUGACUCAGUUAUUAAAGAUGCAAGCCCCUUUGCAGUAUAAUAUAUUUCUUGAUCCUAUUGAAGCGACAAGUUAUGACUUCAUAUUCUUUCCUUUGAAUGACUGCGAUGGAAAUGAGCCAGGUGGCUCACAUUGGAGUUUGUUGAUAUACUCUCGUAAAGAUGAGAUGUGUUAUCAUUACGAUUCAUCAAAUAAUAUUAACAGAUCUAUCGCAGAAAAAUUUGCUAGGAAUGUAAUCAAAUAUUUUCUUAAUAAGCAAGAAAGAAGAUACAUUGAAAUGGAUUGUCCACAACAAAAUAAUUGCUUUGAUUGUGGUUUAUUUGUCUUAUGUUUAGCAGAUUUAAUAUCCAAAUAUAUUCUGAAGGGUUUAAAAAUAAGCAAUUGUGAUUAUAGUGUAAUUACAGAAAUGGUCUCAAAAAAGCGUAUGGAAUUAUUAGGAUUGAUUCAGGAUUUAAGAAAUAUACAUGAUAAUGAAUAACAUAAUUGCUAUAAAUAUUUAAAAUAUAAUUAAGAGAUGCGCAGCCUGGAAAAAAACGUUGGGAAAAAAAUUUUACUAAAUUUAAAAAGAAACAGGGCCACAAAUUGAGAGAUGAUAAAAAUUACACUUUGACUUGCCAGUUAAUGCGAAUGCUAAGUCGAUUUCUCUUUUCAUAAGUUCAAGAAUCGCGCUAGCACCUUUUUCGCCAUUGUACGUCAAACCCCAUAACAUCGGUCGGCCGAAGAAUACCUGAGAAGAAAGGAUGCAAUCAAUUGAUAAUUGUAAAAGAUACAAACAAAAAACUUUUGCAGUGAUAAAAAAAAAUCACAUUUGAACGCAGCACGAUACUGAUUCAUAAAUAGAACGAAACUGUUCAGAUACUUUCGCGCAAAUCAUUGUAUUUGCUAUUCCGUAAAUUUGUCAUACCAUUUUUGCGCCCAAUGCCAAGGCUUUUAAUACGUCGAUACCUUGAGUCACUCCGCCGUCCAUGUAGACCUCGACUUGAUCUCCCACGGCUUUACUUAUUUCAGCAAGAAUUAUGAACCGACCGUUGCUGGAACGCUGUCUAUUUGACGUGCACCAUGAUUCGAAACAAUAAUGCCAUCGACUCCAUUUUCCACAGCCAAACGUGCAUCUUCUGCCGUUAGAAUUCCUUUAAGAAUUAUCGGUAGUGUUGUAGUUCUACAACAAAUCGACUAGAAUACUAUUUAUAUUUGACCUGCUCAACGCAAUUAAAUAUGAAAAUGUAAAGAGAUCUAAUAUGCCAAAUAUGUCAAGAUAAAAAAAUUUUCACCAG